UACGGAGGAUGCGAGCGUUAUCCGGAUUUAUUGGGUUUAAAGGGUGCGUAGGCGGGUUAUCAAGUCAGCGGUAAAAUCGUGGAGCUCAACUCCAUCCAGCCGUUGAAACUGAUGAUCUUGAGUGGGCGAGAAGUAUGCGGAAUGCGUGGUGUGGCGGUGAAAUGCAUAGAUAUCACGCAGAACUCCGAUUGCGAAGGCAGCGCACCGGCGCCCUACUGACGCUCAGGCACGAAAGCGUGGGUAUCGAACAGG
This 252-nucleotide ribosomal RNA is filed under the name uncultured bacterium. Its description in RNAcentral is "partial 16S ribosomal RNA". It matches the Rfam family "Bacterial small subunit ribosomal RNA", at positions 524 to 776 of the family's 1533-position model. The record is from RNAcentral.